RNAcentral lists this unclassified non-coding RNA (354 nucleotides) under soil metagenome. Its description in RNAcentral is "partial contains 5.8S ribosomal RNA, internal transcribed spacer 2, and large subunit ribosomal RNA". The stretch from base 5 to 119 matches the Rfam family "5.8S ribosomal RNA", at positions 40 to 154 of the family's 154-position model. The record is from RNAcentral.
GAUGAGAACGUAGCGAAAUGCGAUAAGUAAUGUGAAUUGCAGAAUUCAGUGAAUCAUCGAAUCUUUGAACGCACAUUGCGCCCAUUAGUAUUCUAGUUGGCAUGCCUGUUCGAGCGUCAUUAAGUCCACUUAAGCCCUGCUUAGUGUUGGGAGACUGCUCCAGCGGUGCUACCCUGUAGCUACCCUGCAGCUCCUCAAAGACAGCGGCGGAGUUGUGGUAUCCUCUGAGCUUAGUAACUUGUUCUAGCUUUCGAGUACACCACUUCCCCUGCCGUAAAACCCUUAAUUUUUAAUGGUUGACCUCGGAUCAGGUAGGAAUACCCGCUGAACUUAAGCAUAUCAAUAAGCGGAGGA